This is a long non-coding RNA of Lolium perenne, 2096 nucleotides long. RefSeq lists it as uncharacterized. NCBI's taxonomy places the organism in Eukaryota, Viridiplantae, Streptophyta, Magnoliopsida, Poales, Poaceae. The record is from RefSeq and is a predicted model, not a curated record.
GCACAAAGCAUGUUCUUCACACAUGGGCUAGAUUAUCCUUUCGUGGACUGGCUGAUCCGUCGUGGGCUCAUGGAUCAAUUUUGCGAUUCACUGCGCGUUCGUCGUUCGUCGUGUGAAGGAAAUGAGCAGCCGCCGUUCGUGUUCCUACUUCCUGGUGGUGGCUAAUAACCGACAGUUAAUCUUCUGGCGCUGCGACCUCGCCACGAAUUCUCCCGCAGGCAAAUGCUGAUGAAAUCAUCUAAUAAAUCCGAGCAUUCAACGAGCGGAAACGGAUCGAUGGAACUCAUCCGCCGCGGCCUCCUUCAGGCGUCGCGCCUCUAGCCCUCCACACAUGGCUGCCCCCAUUUUAAUUCUCAAUCCCUCACCUUAUGUUUGUCAAUCUUUCAGGUUGUGCUCCGCCCGGCUCGGGAGUUGAUCAAUAAAAUCCCCCCGCCACCUGAUCUGAUUGGAUUUUGGUUGGAUUGUACAAGCUGCUCGAGAUCCACAAAAUUCGGUGAAAAGCGGCCGCCCCCAUCUGAAAGCGCCUUCAGGUUAAAAACCAAGUCGUGCUUCCAUUCCAUGGGCAUCAACCACGCCUAGGUCGCCACCUUUGGCAGCGAUUUCCAUGCUGGUUGUGCUCCACCUCGAAAUGCUCGACGAUUUGCCCCUCCACCCGAUUUGAUUGUAUUUUGCGUGCUACUAGCUCAAGCUGCCAAUUAUUUUGGAUUAUGCGCUGCUUGCUGAAGCUGGGAGAAAGCUGUUAUCAUCUCGUGUACGUUCUACUGACGCUGGACAGCAGUACCUGCUUGCAUAGGUCAUCUCUCAAAUCUCUCCCACGAGGGUGUUUAUGGUUUACUGUUUCACAAUAGUCUACCAUCUCCAGGUCAGGAGCUUAUAUCUGUAUACGGACGUCUUUCAUCAGAUUCUUAAAUUCUUACAAUUGAUCAAGUGGGCUUUGGUAUCAAAGAUCGCACGGUUCAUAAGCUAUUCUUCUUGGCAGUGUCUUUGAUGUAGCAGUUUUGGUAUCAGAGAUCACAUUUUUAUGCACGGUUCGUAAGUUCUUGCUUGCCCGGUUGUUUGCUUGGAAUGCAUCAUUAUUGACUGGUUUAGUUCUAGGUUUGGUUCUUGCAGAAUCAAAUAAAUGAUGACUGAAUCUGAUGUUCACAGAACAUAAGAUCCAGCAGGUGCACAAUCGACAUCAAUACCAAGCCCGCAUAUAACCUCACGACUUAGUUUGAGUUGUAUGUAUUUAUCUCAUUUUAUAUACCCUAAUUUCUUACAUUCUUCCUGCCUUUUGCAACAGCUGCAUCGAAUUGCUUCUCAUGAUUUGCAACCAGGGGCCUGCCCUAGCAACCACGAACGCUAUCAGAUGUCAGAGCAACAAGCCUAUUGAAUUUACAAAUGGUGAGCGGAAGCAUGUAUAUUAUUCUUGACUGCUUUCAGUUUUCAGAACCUACUAGCUACCCUGACCAGAUAUUGGGAACUAUCCAGACCAGAUAUUGGGAACAUAUUGGCAAUCAUUUAUAGAAAAAUUCUAAGCUUCUAUUUCAACAAAUGCCGGUCAUACACACAGCGAGAUUUUAUAUAUACCAGGUUUGCCAAGCGUUUAUAUUUCUCAUACCUUGGAUAAAAUUGUCAGUGCAAUCAUUGUGUGUUCCACUGUUUUGACUUGAUUAUGCAGAGAAAAGUGGAGUAAAGAGCAAAUUUGACAAUGUUGAAUUAGUCGACUAUAUACCUCCUGACACCACUGUGUAGAUGGAGCAUUAUUAUGGUCAGUUUUUAGGACCUGCCGAUGGUAGAGCAAGAAAAGAAUUUUCAGUUUCAACUGAAACAUAACUCUGGGGACAUCAAAUUCUGCAUCGACUUUUAGUUCUAUCCAUCUGGGUCGCCAGCUGAGUUAAUGACACCUCUCAUUGUUCUUUCCUACCUAUAGCGUGUCAGUUAAACAUCAUGUUCAUCUAACAAGGUGAAUGAGUUCUCAUGUCUUGCAUUGUCUACAUGUGAACUUGCUAAUGAAUGAGUGAAGGUGCUUCGCUUGGACAGAUCAAAUAUGUAUGCAGUUUUGGUCACAUUUGUUUACCAUGGCACCCAUCAUUAUAUCCUCCCGAUGAAUACAA